RNAcentral lists this ribosomal RNA (393 nucleotides) under Streptococcus anginosus. RNAcentral's name for it is "bacterial SSU rRNA". It matches the Rfam family "Bacterial small subunit ribosomal RNA", at positions 28 to 403 of the family's 1533-position model. Lineage: Bacteria; Bacillati; Bacillota; Bacilli; Lactobacillales; Streptococcaceae. The record is from RNAcentral.
GACGAACGCUGGCGGCGUGCCUAAUACAUGCAAGUAGGACGCACAGUUUAUACCGUAGCUUGCUACACCAUAGACUGUGAGUUGCGAACGGGUGAGUAACGCGUAGGUAACCUGCCUAUUAGAGGGGGAUAACUAUUGGAAACGAUAGCUAAUACCGCAUAACAGUAUGUAACACAUGUUAGAUGCUUGAAAGAUGCAAUUGCAUCGCUAGUAGAUGGACCUGCGUUGUAUUAGCUAGUAGGUAGGGUAAAGGCCUACCUAGGCAACGAUACAUAGCCGACCUGAGAGGGUGAUCGGCCACACUGGGACUGAGACACGGCCCAGACUCCUACGGGAGGCAGCAGUAGGGAAUCUUCGGCAAUGGGGGGAACCCUGACCGAGCAACGCCGCGUG